Molecule: long non-coding RNA, 483 nt
Filed under: Physcomitrium patens
Lineage: Eukaryota; Viridiplantae; Streptophyta; Bryopsida; Funariales; Funariaceae
Description: long non-coding RNA (PPAT_LNC000179)
Source: RNAcentral
AUAUAUUUUAAAAGAAGAAUUUGUUUAGAUCUUAAAAUAUUCAUAUGUUUCUUGUUAUUUUUAUGACACACCCAAAUAUGUAGUUCAAAGUUUGUAUGUUAGAAAUAUAACUUAAUAUACUGUUGUUCUAAUUUCAAACAAGAGAAUUGUAGACCUAUGAGGGCCACAACGCCAUGUUGGCCCUCAUAGGUCUACAAUUGAUACAUUUCAACUUCUUCGGACCAUAUUUGCAUAACACAUCGUACUACCUUGUACUCCCCUAACCCUACUUAGAAUCCUGGACUUGAGCUCCCAAAUUCUACUCACUAAACCCUUUAUUUUAUUUUAUUUUAACAAAAACACUACUAGGGCAGUACUCUGCAAUAGGUAUCCAUACUGAAUACUCUACUGGCUCCCUUCCGUUGCUGGCGGUAAGCUCCAUCCCCACCUCCAUCGCCUUCAGCAAUCAACGUGCAUUUAGCAAGCUGGAAAGAUGUUCUGUAU